UACGUAGGUGGCAAGCGUUGUUCGGAUUUACUGGGCGUAAAGGGCGCGUAGGCGGCGUAACAAGUCACUUGUGAAAUCUCCGGGCUUAACCCGGAGCGGCCAAGUGAUACUGUUGUGCUAGAGUGCGGAAGGGGCUACUGGAAUUCUCGGUGUAGCGGUGAAAUGCGUAGAUAUCGAGAGGAACACCUGCGGCGAAGGCGGGUAGCUGGGCCGACACUGACGCUGAGGCGCGAAAGCCAGGGGAGCGAACGGG
This 253-nucleotide ribosomal RNA is filed under the name uncultured bacterium. RNAcentral describes it as "partial 16S ribosomal RNA". It matches the Rfam family "Bacterial small subunit ribosomal RNA", at positions 524 to 776 of the family's 1533-position model. The record is from RNAcentral.